CCCUAGUAACUGCGAGUGAAGCGGGAAAAGCUCAAAUUUAAAAUCUGGUGGUCUUUGGCCGUCCGAGUUGUAAUUUAGAGAAGCGUCUUCCGCGCUGGACCGUGCACAAGUCUCCUGGAAUGGAGCGUCAUAGAGGGUGAGAAUCCCGUCUUUGGCACGGAUGCCUGGUGCUUCUGUGAUGCGCUCUCAAAGAGUCGAGUUGUUUGGGAAUGCAGCUCAAAAUGGGUGGUGAACUCCAUCUAAAGCUAAAUAUUGGCGAGAGACCGAUAGCGAACAAGUACCGUGAGGGAAAGAUGAAAAGCACUUUGGAAAGAGAGUGAAACAGUACGUGAAAUUGUUGAAAGGGAAACGCUUGAAGUCAGUCGCGUCGACCGAGACUCAGCCUUGCCUUGGCUUGGUGUACUUCUCGGCCCGACGGGUCAGCGUCAAUUUUGCCCCUCGGAUAAUGGCAAGGGAAAGGUGGCACCUUUAUGGUGUGUUAUAGUCUCCUGUCGCAUGUGAGGGGUGGGAUUGAGGAACUCAGCGCGCACCUUGGUGUUGGGGCUUCGGCCCACGUCACGCGCUUAGGAUGCUGGCGUAAUGGCUUUAAACGACCCGUCUUGAAACACGGACCAAGGAGUCCAACAUGCACGCGAGUGUUCGGGUGGAAAACCCGUGCGCGUAAUGAAAGUGAAAGUUGGGACCUCUGUCGUGGAGGGCACCGACGCCCGGACCAGACCUUCUGUGACGGAUCUGCGGUAGAGCGUGUGUGUUGGGACCCGAAAGAUGGUGAACUAUGCCUGAAUAGGGUGAAGCCAGAGGAAACUCUGGUGGAGGCUCGUAGCGAUUCUGACGUGCAAAUCGAUCGUCAAAUUUGGGUAUAGG
Molecule: ribosomal RNA, 864 nt
Filed under: Lactarius soehneri
Lineage: Eukaryota; Fungi; Basidiomycota; Agaricomycetes; Russulales; Russulaceae
Description: partial large subunit ribosomal RNA
Rfam family: Eukaryotic large subunit ribosomal RNA
Source: RNAcentral